This 1800-nucleotide ribosomal RNA is filed under the name Rhipicephalus sanguineus (brown dog tick). RNAcentral describes it as "SSU rRNA". It matches the Rfam family "Eukaryotic small subunit ribosomal RNA". Lineage: Eukaryota; Metazoa; Arthropoda; Arachnida; Ixodida; Ixodidae. The record is from RNAcentral.
AACCUGGUUGAUCCUGCCAGUAGUCAUAUGCUUGUCUCAAAGAUUAAGCCAUGCAUGUCUAAGUACAUGCCGAAAUAAGGCGAAACCGCGAAUGGCUCAUUAAAUCAGUUAUGGUUCCUUAGAUCGUUUCUUCCUACUUGGAUAACUGUGGCAAUUCUAGAGCUAAUACAUGCAGUGAGCCUGGAGCCCUUUGGGUAACGGGUGCUUUUAUUAGACCAAGAUCGAUCGGGUUUCGGCCCGUAUUGUGUGGUGACUCUGGAUAACUUUGUGCUGAUCGCAUGGCCACGAGCCGGCGACGUUUCUUUCAAGUGUCUGCCUUAUCAACUUUCGAUGGUAGGUUACUUGCUUACCAUGGUUGUUACGGGUAACGGAGAAUCAGGGUUCGAUUCCGGAGAGGGAGCCUGAGAAACGGCUACCACAUCCAAGGAAGGCAGCAGGCGCGCAAAUUACCCACUCCCGGCACGGGGAGGUAGUGACGAAAAAUAACAAUACGGGACUCUUUUGAGGCCCCGUAAUUGAAAUGAGUACACUCUAAAUCCUUUAACGAGGAUCAAUUGGAGGGCAAGUCUGGUGCCAGCAGCCGCGGUAAUUCCAGCUCCAAUAGCGUAUACUAAAGCUGCUGCGGUUAAAAAGCUCGUAGUUGGAUCUCAGUUCCAGACGAGUAGUGCAUCUACCCGAUGCGACGGCUCGGACUGAACAUCAUGCCGGUUCUUUCUUGGUGCACUUCAUUGUGUGCCUCGAGAUGGCCGGUGCUUUUACUUUGAAAAAAUUAGAGUGCUCAACGCAGGCGAGUCGCCUGAAUAAACUUGCAUGGAAUAAUAGAACAAGACCUCGUUUCUGUUCUGUUGGUUUUUGGAAUACGAGGUAAUGAUUAAGAGGGACGGACGGGGGCAUUCGUAUUGCGGCGCUAGAGGUGAAAUUCUUGGACCGUCGCAAGACGAACUACUGCGAAAGCAUUUGCCAAGAAUGUUUUCUUUGAUCAAGAACGAAAGUCAGAGGUUCGAAGGCGAUCAGAUACCGCCCUAGUUCUGACCAUAAACGAUGCCAACCAGCGAUCCGCCUGAGUUACUCAAAUGACUCGGCGGGCAGCUUCCGGGAAACCAAAGUAUUUGGGUUCCGGGGGAAGUAUGGUUGCAAAGCUGAAACUUAAAGGAAUUGACGGAAGGGCACCACCAGGAGUGGAGCCUGCGGCUUAAUUUGACUCAACACGGGAAAACUUACCCGGCCCGGACACUGGGAGGAUUGACAGAUUGAGAGCUCUUUCUUGAUUCGGUGGAUGGUGGUGCAUGGCCGUUCUUAGUUGGUGGAGCGAUUUGUCUGGUUAAUUCCGAUAACGAACGAGACUCUAGCCUAUUAAAUAGGUGCGGGGUUCCCAGCACCUUACAACCUUCUUAGAGGGACAAGCGGCUCCUAGCCGCACGAAACAGAGCAAUAACAGGUCUGUGAUGCCCUUAGAUGUCCGGGGCCGCACGCGCGCUACACUGAAGGAAGCAGCGUGUCUUUAUCCCUGUCUGAAAAGACUGGGUAACCCGUGGAACUUCUUUCGUGAUUGGGAUAGGGGCUUGCAAUUGUUCCCCUUGAACGAGGAAUUCCCAGUAAGCGCGAGUCAUAAGCUCGCGUUGAUUACGUCCCUGCCCUUUGUACACACCGCCCGUCGCUACUACCGAUUGAAUGAUUUAGUGAGGUCUUCGGACCGAUGUCCGGCGCGGCCUUUCGGUUGCGCCGGUCUGUUGGAAAGAUGACCAAACUUGAUCAUUUAGAGGAAGUAAAAGUCGUAACAAGGUUUCCGUAGGUGAACCU